UUCUGUUACAUUGUAGCAAAAUGGCGACUGUCAUUCACAACCCCCUGAAAGCACUCGGGGACCAGUUCUACAAAGAAGCCAUCGAGCACUGUCGCAGCUACAACUCCCGGCUGUGUGCCGAGCGAAGCGUCCGCCUCCCCUUCCUGGAUUCACAGACUGGGGUAGCUCAGAAUAACUGCUACAUCUGGAUGGAGAAGAGGCACAGGGGACCAGGCCUGGCCCCAGGUCAGCUCUACACGUACCCAGCACGUUGCUGGCGCAAAAAGAGGCGUUUGCAUCCCCCUGAGGAUUCCAGGCUGAAGCUGCUGGAAAUUAAACCUGAAGUUGAUCUGCCUCUGAAAAAAGAUGGGUUUACAUCUGAAAGUACAACUCUGGAAGCCUUGCUGCGUGGAGAGGGAAUAGAGAAAAAAGCAGACACUAAAGAGGAAGACACUAUACAAGAAAUCCAGAGGGUUUUAGAAAAUGAUGAAAAUGCAGAUGAAGUGAAUGAGGAAGAGGACUUGGAAGAAGAUAUUCCAAAGCGAAAGAACAGGCCUAGAGGACGGCCAAAGACCCCCACCUGGAAAAAAAUUUUCCAGAAAAAUGCUCGGGGAUCUGGAGGCGGCAGGAGACGGAAUGAUGCUGCCUCCCAGGAUGAUCAUGACAAACCCUAUGUUUGUGACAAUAGUUACAAACAAAAGCAUAACUCAAAAAUCUCCGACAAAGUCUGUGGCAAGCGUUACAAGAACAGGCCUGGGCUGAGCUACCACUACGCUCACACCCACCUCGCCAGCGAAGAGGGUGAUGAAGCCCGCGAGCAGGAGACCCGCUCUUCCCCUGUCCACAGAAAUGAAAACCACAAACCCCAGAAAGGACCAGACGGGGUCAUCAUUCCCAAUAACUACUGUGACUUCUGCCUCGGAGGCUCCAAUAUGAACAAAAAAAGUGGUCGGCCUGAGGAACUUGUAUCCUGCUCAGACUGUGGGCGCUCUGCUCAUUUGGGAAGAGAAGGCAGGAGGGACGAAGCAGCGCCAGCACGCACUACGGAGGACUUGUUCGGUUCCACGUCAGAAAGCGACACCUCGACCUUUCAUGGCUUUGACGAGGACGAUGCAGAAGAGCCUCUCUCGGGCCGAGGAGGUGGCUGUGGUGGCAGCUCUCCCUCUGCAGACAAAAAGGGCGGCUGCUAAAAUAACUAAAAAGACACACAAACUCUGAGUGAUUUGCUGUCCUUUUUACUACUAGGAUUAUUAUUACCUUUUUCUUUUUUUAAUUUUAGGUCCUUGGGUUUUUGGGGGUUUUUUGUUGUUAUUUUUGUUGUUUUUCCUGUGGGGUGUACACUGAAAGCACAAGCGUUUAAAGCUUUUGACAACUACUUUGAAGAGACAGAAGGUUUUGAUUUUCCUGUUAUUUUUUUCAUUUUAAUUUGUUUUCCUCCCACCUCCCCCCCUUCUCUUUCUCUCUGGAAACAUAAAAGGUGGAUUUAAUAUUUUUUUUAAUAGUGAGCAGAGUUGAUUUUCUUGUCUUUUAAUAUAUAUAUCGGCAAACCACGAAAAAUACAGAUGGGUUGGAGAGCAGAAAGCAAACGCAAAUAGGUUUUUUUAAUUAUUAUUAUUUAUAUAUUCUAUAUAUUAUUAGAAAAACUACUUUUUAAAUAAAAAUACAAAAAAACAAAAAGCAAUGGAUGUCUACUUGAUAAUAGAACUGUUUCUAGAAAACCACUGUGGGCGGACUCUAUUGGAGGACAAGGAAACCCUUGAUGUGAUGGCUUCUGCGUUUUGAGAUUUUGCACUUACUGUAGCAUGUGGAGUUUGGCUCUUCUUGUACACCUGCUACGCUUGUCCUUAUCAGCCUGAAAAUACAAGCAGCACCAUUGAAGACCAUGACCUUGGGGAACACGUUUCCAUCCCUCCUUUGGACACCUUUACACUCAAUAGAUCUCUUCUUCCCUGCACCCCUUCAUGUCUUCCUCACUCCGUUCUACUUUUUUUUUCUUUUCCUUCACCUUUCACUUCAUGGACAGCAAUUUCCAAGCGUAGGGAUGGAAUAUGAAUGGCAAGUUGUAGACAUCAAAGAGAAAACAGACGGAGGAGCAGAACCAUGGAAGAAAUUAUAUGGAAAAAUACCUCACCUGUACUUUUCUUUCUAUUUUUAAAUUUUAAUUCACAGCAUUUUUUCCUGUGUCGCCCAGUUUUUUCUCUCUGUAGUGUCUUGUGAGACACUUUGUUUGCUUUUCAAUAGCUUCUCUAUAAACCAAAGCAAUAGUCAUUAAAGUUCCAAGGGCAAUGGAGAAGAGAGUGACUCCCUUCCCAGCGACUUUCCCAGAAAGGAGGAAACACGCAGCAGGAUUUGAAAGUCAGCCCUGCCCUCAUGGACUCCAGCAUCCUUCAAGCAAGACAUUUCAGAAGGCGGCCAAGAGAAGCCAGGAUGCUUUGAUACUUCUCCUCUCCUUGCCCUGACCCUUCCAUACCCGUGUUUCAUCUGGCACAGGAGCCUGGACUGUGGGAAGUCGGCUGCCAACUGUUGAGAGAAGUUCUGGGGAUGCCCUAAGCUGGUGCAAUACAAAGAAGUUUUUUAAAGUCUUGAUUUCACUUUCUUUUAAGCGUGUGUAUAAACCCAGGUCAAACUGGAAUUGAUCUACAGUAGAACUGACUGAAAAACAAACAAACUGAAAAAAGACUUAACUAUUUUAUUUAUUUCGAUAUUUAAGAGAGAAAAGAAGUGCUGAAGUUGCACAGUAUUUUUGUUUGAAAUACAUUUUACUUCAAAUUUUAAAUGCAAUUUUGUGAAGACAUGAAAUUUUAAAAAAGCACUUAAUGUAAAAUAAAGACUGAAUAUUUACUUUAAGGAAAAAACUUUUUUUAAAUAAUGAAAAUAAAGAUCAACUCUGCUCUCUCUCUUACUUUAAAGAAGCCAUUCAUACAUGUGCUGGGUAUCUUUGUUUUUUGCAAAUUGGAUGUGGUAAGUGAAGAUUGUUCUGGUUUACUUUCUCCUUAAUAAUAUUAUCCUGUUAGAUGCUUAGAACUUACUUUGCUGUACUGUGUUAGCCACAAAUCUGAACAAAACCUGUUGAAAUAGCAAAGACCAGGCUCAGUGAUUGGAUUUUUUUGUUACCAGAUUCUGUGUCUGAUUCAAAGGACUCUCUUCUCCCAGUAGGAUUGAUGUGUCUUUUCUGCAGAGUGAAAGGUUUGCUCUUGAGCAACUCUGUGAAAUACUUCUGCUUCUGAAAGAGGGGUUUAAAAAGGGAAAACAACUCUGUUAAUUUUAGUAUUUUUUUUUGCUUUGGUAAUUCCACAGGUGAUUGUGAGUUGGUUGUAAGGGAAUUACAUAAAUGUUCAAGUGCUCUUGGCACCAAGCUUCCUGUUGGAGUCAUGGAUGAUGCCAUGUGUAGGAACCUUGUGUACUUCAGCCCUUUCUUAAGUGGUAGUGGACUUCGAAAAGCGUGCAGGUGCACCCGCAGAUCAGCAGUAAGCAUCAGGGGUUACUCAGCAGGAGAAGAAUGAUGCGAAUUUCCGCAGCUACAAUCCUAAAUUGCCCUGUGAGGCAGCAGUGAGGGAUGCUCACAUCCCGAAUUCUAAGUUGCUAGUCAUCUUCUCAGUGAAUAAGGUGUUCUGCUCCGUACAAGCAAUGGAGGAUUUUGUCAGCUGCCAGAUCUGCUCAUGGUGGAUAGCACAGGACUCUUUGCUAUCAUGUGGGAUGCACUGUGGUAAGGAUGCAGGAUAGCCUUGUGUCCUGGGAGAAGGGUAUUGGACUUGGCUCUGAGAUUAGUUUCUCCUCUGUUGCAGGGGUGCCAGAUGUACCUAUUCGUUCAGACCCAGGGCAUAGAUAGAAAAAGUGGUUUUGUAACUGUGGCUCAUGUUGGCUUUUGGAGUGAAAAGUGCUAUGUCUACAAAAAACACAUCCUGACUAGGUGAAGCUGCCAGAGAGCCCGAUCCUGCAUCAUGUUUCUUGCACACCUAAAGCUCACCUCAUUGCGAAUUUUCCAUGUGUCAGUAGCAGCAGAUUUUGUGCUCUUCUCGCUUCCCCUUCUCCUUCUCCUUCCCAGAUUAUCCCAUAGGGCCAAUAAUAACUGUGUAAGAUGUCUGCUAGACCUAAGUCCUGUUCCCACUAAGUUAAAUGACAAAAUUUAUGUCCUAGUUGGGCUCAUGAGCAGGAUAGUUUUGUUUUGUUCAUUUUGUUGGUUUCUAAACUUGCAAUGGUGAACUGCCUCUAGGGAAAAAAAGAAAUCAAAUUUUAUUUCAUCAAAAUAUAACAAGACGCACAACUGUAAUGAAGAUUUGCAAACUGUAGGGUCUGUGUUCAGUUUGUGUAAUAUUCCUUCCAAAUAAAAGUUCUGCUUCCAACGUCCCUACUGUAUAUUCCUCUGUAAAUAUUACUUUAUCAAACCAAUUCCACAAGGUCUUUUUUAGUGCAAAUAAUCUUCUUUUAAAAAGACAUUGUUGAAUAACAUACUACUUGUACAUAUACUUUUCUAAGCUCUCCAUUGUUUAUAAUACUCUCUUUGAAGCUUAAAAUAAAACUUCCUCCUCUAUUGA
Calidris pugnax (ruff) is the source of this 4514-nucleotide RNA transcript. It is a transcript of the gene named D4, zinc and double PHD fingers, family 3, with no coding region annotated. Lineage: Eukaryota; Metazoa; Chordata; Aves; Charadriiformes; Scolopacidae. The transcript is spliced from 12 exons. The record is from RefSeq and is a predicted model, not a curated record.